GCCUUAACAUGCAGGUCGAACGCGUAAAGGGGGGCAACUCCCGAGUAGAGUGGCGAACGGGCCCCUUNAAGAUCGGAACGUAUCCAGCUAGCGGGGGAUAACCUCUCCUAAGAGAGGCUAAUACCGCAUACGACCUACGGGUGAAAGAGGGGGAUCGCAAGACCUCUCACUAUUGGAGCGGCCGAUGUCGGAUUAGCUAGUUGGCGGGGUAACGGCCCACCAAGGCUACGAUCCGUAGCUGGUCUGAGAGGACGACCAGCCACACUGGAACUGAGACACGGUCCAGACUCCUACGGGAGGCAGCAGUGGGGAAUUUUGGACAAUGGGCGCAAGCCUGAUCCAGCCAUGCCGCGUGAGUGAAGAAGGCCNUCGGGNUGNAAAGCUCUUUCNGCGGNGACGAAAAGGNCUGUGUUAACACCACGGAAUCCAUGCACGG
RNAcentral lists this ribosomal RNA (436 nucleotides) under uncultured bacterium. Its description in RNAcentral is "bacterial SSU rRNA". It matches the Rfam family "Bacterial small subunit ribosomal RNA", at positions 46 to 488 of the family's 1533-position model. The record is from RNAcentral.